AGAUUGAACGCUAGCGGGAUGCUUUACACAUGCAAGUCGAACGGCAGCGCGGACUUCGGUCUGGCGGCGAGUGGCGAACGGGUGAGUAAUAUAUCGGAACGUGCCCAGUAGCGGGGGAUAACUACGCGAAAGCGUGGCUAAUACCGCAUACGCCCUACGGGGGAAAGGGGGGGAUCGCAAGACCUCUCACUAUUGGAGCGGCCGAUAUCAGAUUAGCUAGUUGGUGAGGUAAAGGCUCACCAAGGCGACGAUCUGUAGCUGGUUUGAGAGGACGACCAGCCACACUGGGACUGAGACACGGCCCAGACUCCUACGGGAGCAGCAGUGGGAAUUUGGACAAGUGGGGGAAACCCUGAUCCAGCCAUCCCGCGUGUGCGAUGAAGGCCUUCGGGUUAGUAAGACUACGUUUGUCGAGGGAAGAAACGGACGGUCGACCCGUAACGUAACGGACCGUCGAACUACGG
Molecule: ribosomal RNA, 464 nt
Filed under: uncultured soil bacterium
Lineage: Bacteria
Description: bacterial SSU rRNA
Rfam family: Bacterial small subunit ribosomal RNA
Source: RNAcentral